UGGGGAAUUUUGGACAAUGGGCGAAAGCCUGAUCCAGCCAUGCCGCGUGCAGGAUGAAGGCCUUCGGGUUGUAAACNGCUUUUGUACGGAACGAAAAGACUCUGGUUAAUACCUGGGGGUCCAUGACGGUACCGUAAGAAUAAGCACCGGCUAACUACGUGCCAGCAGCCGCGGUAAUACGUAGGGUGCAAGCGUUAAUCGGAAUUACUGGGCGUAAAGCGUGCGCAGGCGGUUAUAUAAGACAGAUGUGAAAUCCCCGGGCUCAACCUGGGAACUGAUUUGUGACUGUAUAGCUAGAGUACGGCAGAGGGGGAUGGAAUUCCGCGUNUAGCAGUGAAAUGCGUAGAUAUGCGGAGGAACACCGAUGGCGAAGGCAAUCCCCUGGGCCUGUACUGACGCUCAUGCACG
Molecule: ribosomal RNA, 408 nt
Filed under: uncultured bacterium
Lineage: Bacteria
Description: partial 16S ribosomal RNA
Rfam family: Bacterial small subunit ribosomal RNA
Source: RNAcentral